CGGCCUACGGGGGGCAGCAGUGGGGAAUAUUGGGCAAUGGGCGCAAGCCUGACCCAGCAACGCCGCGUGAAGGAAGAAGGCUUUCGGGUUGUAAACUUCUUUUGACAGGGAAGAGUAGAAGACGGUACCUGUCGAAUAAGCCACGGCUAACUACGUGCCAGCAGCCGCGGUAAUACGUAGGUGGCAAGCGUUGUCCGGAUUUACUGGGUGUAAAGGGAGCGUAGGCGGCGAUGCAAGUCAGAAGUGAAAGCCCGGGGCUCAACUCCGGGACUGCUUUUGAAACUGCGUUGCUAGAUUGCAGGAGG
This 305-nucleotide ribosomal RNA is filed under the name uncultured bacterium. Its description in RNAcentral is "bacterial SSU rRNA". It matches the Rfam family "Bacterial small subunit ribosomal RNA", at positions 332 to 655 of the family's 1533-position model. The record is from RNAcentral.